RNAcentral lists this ribosomal RNA (335 nucleotides) under uncultured bacterium. RNAcentral's name for it is "bacterial SSU rRNA". It matches the Rfam family "Bacterial small subunit ribosomal RNA", at positions 32 to 346 of the family's 1533-position model. The record is from RNAcentral.
AAUCAACGCUGGCGGCGUGCCUCAGACAUGCAAGUCGAACGCGAAAGUUUCCUUCGGGGGAUGAGUAGAGUGGCGCACGGGUGAGUAACACGUAGGUAAUCUACCUUUGGAUGGGGAAUAACAAUCGGAAACGGUUGCUAAUACCGCAUAAUGCAGCGGCACCUAAUGGUGACAGUUGUUAAAGGCGGGGGAUCGAAAGACCUCGCGUCUGAAGAGGAGCCUGCGGCGAUUAGCUAGUUGGUAAGGUAACGGCUUACCAAGGCGACGAUCCGUAGCCGGCCUGAGAGGGCGGUCGGCCACACUGACACUGACAUACGGGUCAGACUCCUACGGGA